RNAcentral lists this unclassified non-coding RNA (2203 nucleotides) under Melitaea cinxia (Glanville fritillary). RNAcentral's name for it is "misc RNA ENSMCXG00005018089.1". Lineage: Eukaryota; Metazoa; Arthropoda; Insecta; Lepidoptera; Nymphalidae. The record is from RNAcentral.
UCUUUGUAUAUAAUGUAUAGCUAUAAAUAAAUCAUCUGUAGUAGUUAACGUCAACUAUAUGAAAAUUUUGUUCAUAUAUAAAUAUUAAAAAAAAAAAUCAUAAUCAUCAAUAUAUAAUCUGUCCUCCCCCAGUGACGCUCCCCUCCCCCGCGGCCACCCCCGCUCCAGACCCGCCCCUGGACGCACUCAGUGAUCACGAUCUACAACACUACGUUAAAAUGCUCCUAACUAAACCUCCAAACUUCGAUACCGACUCUCCACCAAACCCGAGCGACGCUAAGGAACUAAACGAAGAGCCAACGAGCGACCGACCGGACCGGAACGACCGGAAUAACCGGGUCCGAAGGAGUCUUACCGGUGGGAAACCGCCUUGGAAAGCCUAGCUAGAAUUGUCAUCACAAAAAACGAGUGUACUUUAGACCACACGACCGAAGUAAAACGUCCUUACACCAGCUAACUCCCCAAGUCAAGCGUGUGUAAAGAACUUUUACUUCAAUUAUUGUUUUAAAAAUAUAUAUUACAUACUUAUAUAUACAUACUUAAAUGAGCUUUAGGUGUUAUAUAUUGAAUUGAAAUUAAUGUCUUUUGAACCGUUAUUUUUUGGUCUAAGUCAAGCUGCCAUCGGUUAGAAGAGUCAACUGAAAAUAUUUGAUAAGAAACUAAGUCGUUUUAUUCAUAAUAUCUCAAAAUAAAUAUAUGUAUACUAAAUGAUAUUGAAGCUACAAUUAGAUAGCAGUGUAGUCUAGAGAACGGCAAGAAUUUUAUUUAUUUAUUUAAAAUAAAUUCUGUACAUUUAUAAAUAUUAAUAAAAAUUUAUUACAUAUCCAUCAAUGUUUCAAUAAUAAAUAAAUGUAAUGUAAUGCCUCACUUUUGGGAAGAGAAUUCGUUGAUUUUUUUGUGUUUUAUUGCUCUUCUGUCUGUUAAUAUUCCUACAUCUAGUCUUCAUCCUCUCAAGUGAAGUUUGAAUCACUAGCUGGAUGAUUCUUUUAGGCUCUUGAGCCCGGUUUCUUUAUCCAAAAACACACACAAAGGCGCGCGCGCGCGCUAACACGCGCACUCUGUCUCACUCACACACAACGCAGCUCGCACUCUGUCUCACUCACACACAACGCAGCUCGCACUCUGUCUCACUCACACACAACGCACGCACGCACUCUGUCUCACUCACACACGCACGCACUCUAUCUCACUCACACACAACGCACGCACGCACUCUGUCUCACACACGCACGCACUCUAUCUCACUCACCCACACACGUGCGCGCCCGCUCACUCUGUCUCACUCACUCACACACACACACACACGCACGCAAAACAUGUUCGAUUUGUUUUUUGAAUAUUGAAACUGGACUUUAGCGAAAGAGAGUUUCUAUGUUUAUAAAAAAUUACGUACCACUCAAUUUUUUAUAUGGUGUUUGAAACGAAACGCGAGAAAAGGGUUCGUGAGAAAAACGAAUUGUUUUUUGAUUAAAGAAACUGGCAUUUUAACUUAUCAAUCAAAAACGUACAUGUAAGUCGUGUAACUUUUACAAUACUUCAAUUUGACAUAGAAAUUGUUAAUAUUUACUAAAUUCUAGUUGUUGGAUUAAUAUAAAAUGUUAAAUAUCUGUAGUUAGUAUUAAUAAGCUGUUUUCCUCGGCUUCACUUGCAUUUAUGUCAUUAUAAGUUGUAAUUAUCAUGAUAUUAUAAUGUUUUAUAAAUGAAUUUUGAACGUAAAACUUUGUACUUUAGAAAUGUGUUUACGAAAGAUUAACAGAUAAUUAUGAACAUGUUUGUUAUGUAUGUAACUAUUACUGUUUUUAGUCCAUUUCGUUAUUUCACAAAAUUCUGUGUCAUAUAAAUUGUAUUCUCUUAAUAUUCAUUGCAUAAAAAAAUGGCUAUGACAUCUAUAUGUGUCUUUUACUCCGUUGAUUACAAAAUCUAAUACGUAGUUUACUUAUUUUCAAUUAAGUAUUAUAGAACGUCUCCCACCCGUGUCUCAAAGAGCAGGUUUUUUUUAAGUUUUUUUUUUUCAUAGUAAAAUACAUACAAUACUUUGUCUCGGUAAGAACGUUAUUGUUUGCAGGAGGUGAUAAGAAAAUAAAAGUAGUAAUAUGAAUGUUUUGAAAAGUUUUGAAGUGUUUAAACUUUGGAAAUCAAUUAUUUUAAAUAAUUCUUGGUCCAAACUCAGGGUUACAAUUAUUAGAAUAUAAAAAAGAAAACU